This 768-nucleotide ribosomal RNA is filed under the name Terminalia sambesiaca. RNAcentral describes it as "eukaryotic LSU rRNA". The stretch from base 345 to 497 matches the Rfam family "5.8S ribosomal RNA". The record is from RNAcentral. Lineage: Eukaryota; Viridiplantae; Streptophyta; Magnoliopsida; Myrtales; Combretaceae.
UCGCCGCCGACGACGUCGCGAGAAGUCCACUGAACCUUAUCAUUUAGAGGAAGGAGAAGUCGUAACAAGGUUUCCGUAGGUGAACCUGCGGAAGGAUCAUUGUCGACACCUGCAAAGCAGAGCGACCCGUGAACCGUUUUUCAACKCYCGGGAUACCGGGGGGGCGCMUGUCCGCCCGGUAGCCCGAAAGCUCCGGACUCUAGGGGUGCAACCCACCCCAGGGUACGGAGCUCCAAACAAACCCCGGCGCGCGAAGCGCCAAGGUACUCCAACGAUAGGGCAUGCGCCCGUAGCCCUGGGUUCCAGUGUGCUCGGGCUGCUGUUCAACGUCAUAAAGUCUAAACGACUCUCGGCAACGGAUAUCUCGGCUCUCGCAUCGAUNNNAACGCAGCGAAAUGCGAUACUUGGUGUGAAUUGCAGAAUCCCGUGAACCAUCGAGUCUUUGAACGCAAGUUGCGCCCGAAGCCUUGGCUGAGGGCACGUCUGCCUGGGUGUCACGCAUCGCGUUGCCUCCAAACCCUUCACCCUUCGGACGUUGCGGUGAUGGUCUGGAUGCGGAAGCUGGCCUCCCGCGGCCGCGAGCCACGGAUGGCCCAAACACGUGCUAGGGAAGCGAAGCGCCACGGCAUUCGGUGGUUGAUCCAAGCCCCAGAAGCAGUGCCGGCGGUGGCCGCGUCCGUCCCUAGCCCACGACCCUAAUCGUUAACCAACGCGACCUCAGGUCAGGCGGGGCUACCCGCUGAGUUUAAGCAUAUCAAUAAGCGGAGG